AUACGUAGGUGGCAAGCGUUGUCCGGAAUUAUUGGGCGUAAAGCGCAUGUAGGCGGUAAUUUAAGUCUGUCGUGAAACUGCGGGGCUCAGCCCCGUAUGGCGAUGGAAACUGGGUUACUUGAGUGCAGGAGAGGAAAGGGGAACUCCCAGUGUAGCGGUGAAAUGCGUAGAUAUUGGGAAGAACACCGGUGGCGAAGGCGCCUUUCGGGACUGUGUCUGACGCUGAGAGGCGAAAGCCAGGUUAGCGAACGGGAUUAGAUACCCCGGUAGUCCUGGCCGUAAACGAUGGGUACUAGGUGUGGGAGGUAUCGACCCCUUCCGUGCCGGAGUUAACGCAAUAAGUACCCCGCCUGGGGAGUACGGCCGCAAGGCUUAAACUCAAAGGAAUUGACGGGG
Molecule: ribosomal RNA, 396 nt
Filed under: uncultured bacterium
Lineage: Bacteria
Description: partial 16S ribosomal RNA
Rfam family: Bacterial small subunit ribosomal RNA
Source: RNAcentral